UACGUAGGUGGCAAGCGUUGUCCGGAAUUACUGGGCGUAAAGCGUGCGUAGGCGGAUAUUUAAGUCGGAUGUGAAAUCCCCGGGCUCAACCUGGGAACUGCAUUCGAUACUGGAUAUCUAGAGUAUGGUAGAGGAAAGUGGAAUUCCCGGUGUAGCGGUGAAAUGCGUAGAUAUCGGGAGGAACAUCAGUGGCGAAGGCGGCUUUCUGGACCAAUACUGACGCUGAGGUACGAAAGCGUGGGGAGCAAACAGG
This 253-nucleotide ribosomal RNA is filed under the name uncultured bacterium. RNAcentral describes it as "partial 16S ribosomal RNA". It matches the Rfam family "Bacterial small subunit ribosomal RNA", at positions 524 to 776 of the family's 1533-position model. The record is from RNAcentral.